RNAcentral lists this ribosomal RNA (496 nucleotides) under uncultured bacterium. RNAcentral's name for it is "partial 16S ribosomal RNA". It matches the Rfam family "Bacterial small subunit ribosomal RNA", at positions 28 to 508 of the family's 1533-position model. The record is from RNAcentral.
GACGAACGCUGGCGGCGUGCCUAAUACAUGCAAGUAGAACGCUGAAGGAGGAGCUUGCUCUUCUGGAUGAGUUGCGAACGGGUGAGUAACGCGUAGGUAACCUGCCUGGUAGCGGGGGAUAACUAUUGGAAACGAUAGCUAAUACCGCAUAAGAGUAGAUGUUGCAUGACAUUUGCUUAAAAGGUGCAAUUGCAUCACUACCAGAUGGACCUGCGUUGUAUUAGCUAGUUGGUGGGGUAACGGCUCACCAAGGCGACGAUACAUAGCCGACCUGAGAGGGUGAUCGGCCACACUGGGACUGAGACACGGCCCAGACUCCUACGGGAGGCAGCAGUAGGGAAUCUUCGGCAAUGGACGGAAGUCUGACCGAGCAACGCCGCGUGAGUGAAGAAGGUUUUCGGAUCGUAAAGCUCUGUUGUAAGAGAAGAACGAGUGUGAGAGUGGAAAGUUCACACUGUGACGGUAUCUUACCAGAAAGGGACGGCUAACUACGUGC